RNAcentral lists this long non-coding RNA (823 nucleotides) under Homo sapiens (human). RNAcentral's name for it is "non-protein coding lnc-FBXO45-8:5". Lineage: Eukaryota; Metazoa; Chordata; Mammalia; Primates; Hominidae. The record is from RNAcentral.
CCAUGUCACUAUUAACCCUUCAAGGUUGUAUAUUGCUGGCUAGGUGCGACAGCUCAUGCCUGCUAUCCCAGCACUUUGGGAGCCUGAGGCGGGAGGAUCACUUGAGCCCAGGAGGUUGAGGCUGCAGUGAGCAAUGGUUGUGCCAUACACUCCAGCCUGGGUGAUACAGCCAGACCCUGCCUCUGGAAAAAAAAGAAAGCUUACUGAGCUUUCCUAAAGCAGAUGAAAAGAAGAGUAUAUAGUAUUGUGUCUGGCAUAAGAAAAGGAGAACUUGGUGAGGUGAAAUAGCACCAGCCCAGAGUCUUGAAGAAGCCAGGGGCCCUGGAGAACAGAUGGAAGGUGACCUUUCCCUGACAGGUGUGCUACUACGGCACCAACCACGCGGGGCCCUGGUGGUCUGGGUCAGCCUCACUUUGUGGGACAAUGGCUUUUGAGUCUUCAGUGACAAGCUAGAAAAGGAAUCUCCUGACACUGUGGUCAUGGAGCUUGAUUUCUAAGGAGAGAGUCAGCACGUGGAAGCAAAGGCACCGAGAGUCCAAGUAAAAGUCCCAAAUCCAUAAAAUGCACCACACAGGUCAAAACACAGGACACGGCCGGGCGCGGGGGCUCACGCCUGUAAUCCCAGCACUUUGGGAGGCCGAGGCAGGUGGCUCACCUGAGGUCAGGAAUUCGAGACCAGCCUGCUCAACAUGGAGAAACCCCAUCUCUACUAAAAACACUAAUUAGCCAGGGAAGAAUGUUCUGAAGAGGGACAGAGGUCAAGGUGAUAAGGCUGUUGCUUUAGAAAGGAAGGUGUUUCCUAUGCUUUUGCCUUUACAUUCUG